This 253-nucleotide ribosomal RNA is filed under the name uncultured bacterium. Its description in RNAcentral is "partial 16S ribosomal RNA". It matches the Rfam family "Bacterial small subunit ribosomal RNA", at positions 524 to 776 of the family's 1533-position model. The record is from RNAcentral.
UACGAAGGGGGCUAGCGUUGUUCGGAAUUACUGGGCGUAAAGCGCGCGUAGGCGGUGAUCUUUGUCAGAGGUGAAAGCCCGGGGCUCAACUCCGGAAUUGCCUUUGAAACGGGAUCGCUUGAGUCCGAGAGAGGAUGGCGGAAUUCCUAGUGUAGAGGUGAAAUUCGUAGAUAUUAGGAAGAACACCGGUGGCGAAGGCGGCCAUCUGGCUCGGUACUGACGCUCAGGCGCGAAAGCGUGGGGAGCAAACAGG